RNAcentral lists this ribosomal RNA (253 nucleotides) under uncultured bacterium. RNAcentral's name for it is "partial 16S ribosomal RNA". It matches the Rfam family "Bacterial small subunit ribosomal RNA", at positions 524 to 776 of the family's 1533-position model. The record is from RNAcentral.
UACAGAGGGUGCGAGCGUUAAUCGGAAUGACUGGGCGUAAAGGGCGCGUAGGUGGUUGGAUGAGUUGGAUGUGAAAUUCCCGGGCUUAACCUGGGAGGGUCAUCCAAAACUGUUUGACUAGAGUAUGGUAGAGGGAAGUGGAAUUUCCGGUGUAGCGGUGAAAUGCGUAGAUAUCGGAAGGAACACUGGUGGCGAAGGCGACUUCCUGGACUGAUACUGACACUGAGGCGCGAAAGCGUGGGGAGCAAACAGG